This is a long non-coding RNA of Agelaius phoeniceus (red-winged blackbird), 918 nucleotides long. RefSeq lists it as uncharacterized. The record is from RefSeq and is a predicted model, not a curated record. Lineage: Eukaryota; Metazoa; Chordata; Aves; Passeriformes; Icteridae.
CCCGGUGAUGGCAUCACCACGAGAGUGGAUAUGGUUCUGGCCAACUCCAUGGACCCACAGGGAUCAGGGGGCUGCAAUCACUGCCACUGCUCUGCCAGCUGUAAGAGUAGGAGCCUCAAAAAAACAGGAAUAUGAAUGGAUCCCGAGAGGGGGAAGAGGGUGAGCAGCACAGGCAUGAAACUCUGCAAGCUGUGAAUUGAGAAAUCUGUCACAGAAAUGAAAGUACCCCAGGAAGGGAUAAAGUGAGAAAGAUGCAUUUCUUCUUCUUCUUUGUGCACCUUGUACAAGAGGACCGACUGUCUUGCUGAGGCAAUGAAGGAAAGAGCAGAGAUAAACAGGAGCAGGACAUAAGGAAAAUGAAAGGCAGGAGCCAGCAUUACAAAGCCAUUGGAGGAUGGCAUAAAAGAGGCCAUAUGUGCAGGCAAUCACAGAGGAUAAGGGGGAACACCUGUUUUUCCAUCAAUUACAGCCUGUGAGCUCGCGGGGCAUAUUUAUUCUGGGGGCAUUACAUUUGCUUGGGUAAUAGCCCAUGACACAUUUCCAGUUUUACAGCAGACAAGCCCUGGGAAGGAGCUAAUCAUGUCUGUACAAAUGAAACACAAACAUGCCCUCCUGGCCAUACACGUGGUUGAACAGGGGCCCCAGUGACACCAGGAGCCACCCGGGGCCAGCAGGAAGCACUUGGGGAACAACCUGGAUGGGUCUGUUUGCUCUACAAAGCCAACCCGAGCAAAAAAGCCCUGGGAAAAGGCAUAGGUGGGACUGUAGGAGAGGUGGAUGCCCUCAGGGAAAUGGUAAUAAUCUCCCUACUAGGUAAGGACAAAGUCCAACUCAAGUGUUUUACUGAUGGCAAUAGAAAGAGGUAUUACUGCGUAUUACUGGAGCUUGCAUUUAUUUUUUUUAAUCUUGAUAGAAGUG